GGUAUUCAAUGCGCGCAGCUGAUGCAGCCAUGCCGCGUGUGUGAGAAGGCCUUUCGGGUUGUAAAGCACUUUCAGUCGGGAGGAAGGUGCUUGCGUUAAUAGCGUAAUUAUUUGACGUUACCUACAGAAGAAGCACCGGCUAACUCCGUGCCAGCAGCCGCGGUAAUAAA
This 170-nucleotide ribosomal RNA is filed under the name uncultured bacterium. Its description in RNAcentral is "partial 16S ribosomal RNA". It matches the Rfam family "Bacterial small subunit ribosomal RNA", at positions 359 to 527 of the family's 1533-position model. The record is from RNAcentral.